CUGUAAAGUAUCCGAAACGUCGGCCAUCUAAAUAAAUUAAUAAACCGCAAUAUAAUCCGAAAAAGUGAUUUCAUUAUAUUCUAAAAAUGAUUUUAU
This is a long non-coding RNA of Melitaea cinxia (Glanville fritillary), 96 nucleotides long. RefSeq lists it as uncharacterized. The transcript is spliced from 4 exons. NCBI's taxonomy places the organism in Eukaryota, Metazoa, Arthropoda, Insecta, Lepidoptera, Nymphalidae. The record is from RefSeq and is a predicted model, not a curated record.